This 250-nucleotide ribosomal RNA is filed under the name uncultured prokaryote. RNAcentral's name for it is "partial 16S ribosomal RNA". It matches the Rfam family "Bacterial small subunit ribosomal RNA", at positions 524 to 773 of the family's 1533-position model. The record is from RNAcentral.
UACGUAGGUGGCAAGCGUUGUCCGGAUUUACUGGGUGUAAAGGGCGUGUAGGCGGACUUUUAAGUCAGGUGUGAAAUACCGGGGCUCAACCCCGGAGCUGCACUUGAAACUGGAAGCCUUGAGUGCCGGAGAGGAAAGCGGAAUUCCUAGUGUAGCGGUGAAAUGCGUAGAUAUUAGGAGGAACACCAGUGGCGAAGGCGGCUUUCUGGACGGUAACUGACGCUGAGGCGCGAAAGCGUGGGGAGCAAAC